CAUUCAUUGCCAGCUGCCUUCAUCCUCAAAAAUGCCAAAAAAGAAGUGUGUGCUUUUACAGAUGAGGAGGCUGAGGAAGUAACAGGCCUGGGAUUUGAACCUGGGUCCAAUUACUGUAUAGCCCGACCUCUCUCUAUAACAAUGUAGUGAAGACCACGAUGGGGUCUCCUCUGUACCUGAUGCCUAGAAGAGUGACAGCCGUCUUGUGACAGGGAGGACAAAGCCCCGGAGGCAGCCUGCACAUCGCCCUCCUCCUUUUCCUGCACAUCAGCUGUACAGCUUGGCUCUGAUGAUUUUUUCCUCCACUUUCUCCGAGCCCAGUGUCCUUCAGUUCAAGCCCCAGCAUCUCCUGCCUCGACAACUGGCCUCCCCUCCCCACCCCUGCUGCCUGCCAAUCCAUUAUCCUUAUGAUAGACCAUCUUAUUUGGGGUCUCCUAAAAGCCUGAGGACCUUUGUACAUGCUGAUCCUGCUGCCUGGUCCUUCCAUGUCACCUACAUGAUGCCUACCCAUCUUCAGAUCUCUAGGCAGCCCAAUACCAUCGCCCAGGCUGUGUCUUCAGGGCCCCAGGGGAUGGUGAAGCCACAAAGUGAAACCCAGAUGCCUGAGUCAGCGUGUGGAAGGAAGGCCACGUGCCAAACCAUCCACAUUGGAUUAUUUUACAAGCAAGAAAGAGCAUCCAUUUCGUUGUGUAUUACAGCAGUUAGAUUACUUUGAUUAAUAUACUAUUUUCACACACAUUUUAUAGGUGACAGAAAAGAGACUCAGAGAGAAGUGAAGUGACUUGCCCAGGGUUGCAUAGCCAGAUGUGGCAGAGCCGGGAUUCUAACUUCAGAACAUAUACAAAAUGUAACUGACACUGCUUUCCACAGGUCUUUAAUAAAUAUUUGUUGAAUGAAUACAGUGAGUAGUCUUGAUUCCCUAGCCUUUAUGUUAAGAACCUAGGGGAAAAGUAGCUCAAAAAUAAAUCACAGGGUGACAAAAAAAUAAAAUCAAAAUGCAUGAGUCUCCUCCACUAUAUUGUAAGUUUCUGGAAGACAUAGGCUUUACUG
Myotis davidii is the source of this 1050-nucleotide long non-coding RNA. RefSeq lists it as uncharacterized. Lineage: Eukaryota; Metazoa; Chordata; Mammalia; Chiroptera; Vespertilionidae. The transcript is spliced from 4 exons. The record is from RefSeq and is a predicted model, not a curated record.